Molecule: ribosomal RNA, 440 nt
Filed under: uncultured bacterium
Lineage: Bacteria
Description: partial 16S ribosomal RNA
Rfam family: Bacterial small subunit ribosomal RNA
Source: RNAcentral
CCUACGGGCGGCAGCAGUGGGGAAUAUUGCACAAUGGGGGGAACCCUGAUGCAGCGACGCCGCGUGGGUGAGGAAGUACUUCGGUAUGUAAAGCCCUAUCAGCAGGGAAGAAAAUGACUGUACCUGACUAACAAACACAGCCUAACUACGCGCCAUCAGCCGCGGAAAUACGUAGGGGCCAGGCGGUAUCCGGAUUUACGGGGUGUAACGGGAGCGUAGACGGCGUGCUAUGUCUGGUGUGAAGGGCAGGGGCUCAACCCGGGGACUGAAGUGGACACUGGCAUGGUGGAGUGCCGGAGGGGAGAGCGGAAUUCCUGGUGUAGCGGUGGAAUGCGUAGAUAUUAGGAGGAACACCGGUGGCGAAGGCAGCUUGCUGGGCGGUAACUGACGUUGAGGCGCGAAAGCGUGGGGAGCAAACAGGAUUAGAUACCCCAGUAGUC